This 332-nucleotide ribosomal RNA is filed under the name uncultured Gemmatimonas sp. RNAcentral describes it as "bacterial SSU rRNA". It matches the Rfam family "Bacterial small subunit ribosomal RNA", at positions 568 to 898 of the family's 1533-position model. The record is from RNAcentral. Lineage: Bacteria; Pseudomonadati; Gemmatimonadota; Gemmatimonadia; Gemmatimonadales; Gemmatimonadaceae.
CGCGUAGGCGGCCUGGUAAGUCGGGGGUGAAAGUCAGCGGCUCAACCGCUGGACUGCCUUCGAGACUGCCUGGCUUGAGCAUGGUAGAGGCUGGCGGAAUUCCCGGUGUAGCGGUGGAAUGCGUAGAGAUCGGGAAGAACAUCGGUGGCGAAGGCGGCCAGCUGGGCCAUUGCUGACGCUGAGGCGCGACAGCGUGGGGAGCAAACAGGAUUAGAUACCCUGGUAGUCCACGCCGUAAACGAUGGGUACUAGGCGUCGGGGGGAGCGACCCCUUCGGUGCCGUCGUUAACACAGUAAGUACCCCGCCUGGGGAGUACGGCCGCAAGGCUGAA